This 641-nucleotide ribosomal RNA is filed under the name uncultured Actinomycetes bacterium. Its description in RNAcentral is "bacterial SSU rRNA". It matches the Rfam family "Bacterial small subunit ribosomal RNA", at positions 232 to 885 of the family's 1533-position model. The record is from RNAcentral. Lineage: Bacteria; Bacillati; Actinomycetota; Actinomycetes.
CGCGGCCUAUCAGCUUGUUGGUGGGGUAGUGGCCUACCAAGGCGGCGACGGGUAGCCGGCCUGAGAGGGUGACCGGCCACAUUGGGACUGAGAUACGGCCCAGACUCCUACGGGAGGCAGCAGUGGGGAAUAUUGCGCAAUGGGCGAAAGCCUGACGCAGCGACGCCGCGUGGGGGAUGAAGGCCUUCGGGUUGUAAACCCCUUUCAGGAGGGAUGAAAUUGACAGUACCUCCAAAAGAAGCCCCGGCCAACUACGUGCCAGCAGCCGCGGUAAGACGUAGGGGGCGAGCGUUGUCCGGAAUCAUUGGGCGUAAAGGGCUCGUAGGCGGCUCGGUAAGUCGAUCGUGAAAUCCCGGAGCUCAACUCCGGAACUGCGGUCGAUACUGCCGUGGCUAGAGUCAGGUAGAGGAGAGUAGAAUUCCCGGUGUAGCGGUGGAAUGCGCAGAUAUCGGGAGGAAUACCAUUUAGCGAAGGCGGCUCUCUGGGCCUGUACUGACGCUGAGGAGCGAAAGCGUGGGUAGCAAACAGGAUUAGAUACCCUGGUAGUCCACGCCGUAAACGUUGGGCACUGGGCGUGGUGGCCUGACCAAGGGCUGCUGUGCCGACGCUAACGCAUUAAGUGCCCCGCCUGGGGAGUACGG